GUUGCCAACAGGUUAAGCUGGGAACUCUAAUGAAACUGCCGCCGUAAGGCGUGAGGAAGGAGGGGAUGAUGUCAAGUCAUCAUGGCCUUUAUGCCCAGGGCUACACACGUGCUACAAUGGUCAGGACAAAGGGCUGCUACCUAGCGAUAGGAUGCUAAUCCCAAAAACCUGAUCUCAGUUCGGAUUGGAGUCUGCAACUCGACUCCAUGAAGCUGGAAUCGCUAGUAAUCGUAUAUCAGCAAUGAUACGGUGAAUACGUUCCCGGACCUUGCACACACCGCCCGUCAAGCCAUGGGAGCCGGGUGUACCUAAAGUCGGUAACCGAAAGGAGCUGCCUAGGGUAAAAUCGGUGACUGGGGCUAAGUCGUAACAAGGUA
This 377-nucleotide ribosomal RNA is filed under the name uncultured bacterium. Its description in RNAcentral is "bacterial SSU rRNA". It matches the Rfam family "Bacterial small subunit ribosomal RNA", at positions 1114 to 1498 of the family's 1533-position model. The record is from RNAcentral.